Long non-coding RNA from Medicago truncatula (barrel medic), 706 nucleotides. RefSeq lists it as uncharacterized. Lineage: Eukaryota; Viridiplantae; Streptophyta; Magnoliopsida; Fabales; Fabaceae. The record is from RefSeq and is a predicted model, not a curated record. The transcript is spliced from 3 exons.
UUAUAUUUUAGCAUCUCACCAUUUUAUUUUUCAUGCAAGGAGCAAUUCAAGAAAAUAUUGAAGUCACAUACCAUGAUUUGGACAAUGGCAUAGAUAUGAAUUUGGGAGACAACAUAGACCAUGAGUUGGACAAUGGAUCAAUUCAAGAAAAUAUUGAAGUCACGGACCAUGAUUUGAACAAUAGCAUAGAUAUGAAUUUGGGAGACAACAUAGACCAUGAGUUGGACAAUGGGGCCAAUUUUUAAGAUUGCAUCAGGGCCUCCGGAUUGUUUAAGACGACCCUAUGGAUUAUGCUCUUAGUAUGACCUUCUACAAAAUUCUAAGACAACCCCUUUGCUUGCUGAUGGAUUAGCUGUUGAUGGGAAAGUAAGAAGUUAACAACAUAAUUUUCAAAUUCAUUGGACCAUCCACAAUGAAGCUCCUCUAUUUAGGUAUUUAAGUGAGUCUCACAUAUAAACAUCGUCUAUUUUAAAAUUUUUAAUGUAAGUACCUGUAAACACUCAAAAUUCGGAUGAGAUCUUCUAAAAAACCCAGAAAUUCAAAUGAAAUAAAUGCCUCAAAAAUUGAUCUUCCUUGUGAACCCAUAUGUUUUCUUCAAACCAAAAUCUUCUAAAAUAAAAAACUAAAUCUAAAGGUUGGUUUAUUUGCACAAUUCGUCAAACCGCAUCUUCAUUCAAAAAAUCAAAACUGAAACAAACUGAUUUCA